CAGUAAUGUUUUAAUGUUCUUAAACAUUCGCACAUAAAUAAGUGCGAAAGUUCACUCUUCGGCCGCUCCGCUUCAGCACUCUGCUGUAUUUUUCGGCAAAAUUAUCCACACCCAGCACUGCACUAUGAAUUGUGGGAUAUGUGGGACCACGAAGUGUACAGCGGACCACACUUCAAAUUUGGGGAAGUCGGAUUGGGACAGCCGUCGUCACGUCGCUGUGACGUAAUAGGUCUCAAAAUGCUUACUCAGGAGCGUGCGGUCGCUGGAUUGGAACACAGCCAAGGUCUGUAGCUGUGUCAGAGCAAGCUUGUGUGAGCCAGCGGUGAUAUGUGUACACGCUGUAGGCUUUUAAAAUACUCAUGUGUCAUUCUCCUGCCAGCAGUGGAGGAGACUUUUCUGCUGAGGAAGAGGCCGUGCUGUCCUGCCGUCCUACUGGUGCCAUUGAGGGAUCAGCGGCUGCUAUAUAUCCUUCUCGACCUCGAGUAUUUGGACUGAAGGACUCACAGACACGUUUCAUAUUUAGCUCUAUAAAAGAUUUUAAAAAGAUUUUUUUAAAAAUAUUUUCCUGGCCAGCCAUUUUCUUAUUCACACAGGCUGUAUGGAGACCUUUUGGUUAUUGCCACAGACGCUUUCUCUUACUAUGGAUGGAGGAUGUUGCGGUUUUACAACCCAUGGACUGAGAAAGGACUCAAUAAGUAACCUGUUCACAUAUUCCAGGGUUAAACACAAAACAGGAGGCGAGAGCAGAGAACAAGAGUGCAGCAGUUUGGUGAAAGGUGAAGAAGAGGUGAGCAUCCAAAAGACGAGCAAGAGGACAGUUUCAAAGGAGACAUCACGGCACAAUAAAAGCUAGAAACUCACCUGAUGUAGUGGUAAGGCGUUAUUCACCACUAGAUGGAGACAACCUGGCACAGUCUAUAGAUCCAGUCACACUUUCUACCUUCACCUGUGCAGUAAAGACUGAGAGCAGAGCUGAAACCAACCGUCCAAUCAGGGAGCAGCAUCAACACCUGAGCUUCAUUCAGACUCUGUUAUUGAAGAUGUUGUUGGUACAAAGUUCAUCUGCUGCUCACAUGAAUCCAUGAAAGAUUUAUUUCACUGAGUGUUUCUUCAAAGCUCAUUUCAACCUGUUGAAGUCAUGAAUGAAAGUGCAGACUGAGAGUGGAUCACAUGAUGUUUAAGGUGAGCAGAUCCAGUGUAUGUCAUCAGUGAGCUGGUGAAAAGAUGCCAGGACAAGAACAUCAGCCUGAACUUCAUAUACGACACUGUGUGUGCUGUCCUCACAUAUACAUAAGUGCAGCUCCUUCAGAGAUGGGACAAAGAGGAGGUCACCAGCCUGCUGAGGCCAAGUUCGAUUUGAUUUUCCAGUCAACGCUGAGAGACCUUGACCAGGAAGUCAGAGGUCAGCUCUGUGAGCAGGAAAUGAAUCAAGGAAGAAGGAUCGCUCUACUCAAUCUCAAAGAAAAUCUCCUGAGAGGGAAACGUUGUAUUUUUUGCGUCUCUUCCUCACAGUAAAGAUAUUUGUACUCCUGCAAAGAAGAUUCUGCAGGUAAACUGUUGAUGGGACAAUAAACAAAUUUCACUUUGCAAAAUGUUGUGCAGGGAGGUUGUGGUUGCUUCUUAGACUACCAUGACCUGGAUGACUGAGAACCUACGCAGACACAUUCUGAAGGAAGGGCUCCACACUUAUUGUACUGAUUUAACUGUGUUCAUUGUCAUCUAGCAAAUUUUGCUUUAAUGUGUCUCUAUCGACAACACAAAGCAUUUUUUUCACUAUUUAUAAAACGUAGAAGACUUAAAAUAUAUCUGCAGUGCUUGGUGUAAAUUCAGUGAUUCAAGCCGCAGUUGGUUGGAGUCCAACAGUCUGCAGAGGCCUCCACAGUCCACCGUCUUCACAUCACAAGGACAGUUUCCACAUGUCUGUGACGUCUCCUUGCACUUGUACUCAUGCCUUGAUGAACAAGUUUGUUUCAUGAAUAUUUCUCAGACAGAAGAAGGUGAUAUUCCAACAGAGCUGAAAAGGAGAGCCGUCGAUGCCUUACAUUUGAAGAGCAGAGCAGCUGAAGAAAAGCUGCGACUCCAACGUGAGAUGGACGCUGUGACUCAUCACCUCCACCAGCAACACACUGACCUGCAUUCAUCCAUAGAUGACACUCAGGACUCUGGUUCCACAGCUGUUCCUGUUCACAGCUGCAUCCAGUUAGAGAGGAAACUGUAUAAUGCAAUGAUGAUGUUCCAGUGUCCUGCAGAUGGCGUUCUUGCAACGCGUUCAAAGAGCCGACACUUUGAUGAUGCUGCUCUGCUCAACUUACUGUUAGCCUGGGUUGGACUCUAUAUGAGCAGCUUCUACUCUGGUUUCACUGUUAAAUACACUUGUUUGAUUUCACUUGGAAAAGCUGAAAAAUAAAUAUUUUAUUGCAAAAUUAUUUGUUGGUACAUUUCUUGAGGGUCAAAUAUCUUGUUUGAUUUGAGGAAUGAACUGUUAAGGUGUUAAAAAUGAAUCAGGUUAAAAUAUUUCAAUUUCAAUUUC
This is a long non-coding RNA of Oreochromis niloticus (Nile tilapia), 2530 nucleotides long. RefSeq lists it as uncharacterized. The transcript has 8 exons. The record is from RefSeq and is a predicted model, not a curated record. Lineage: Eukaryota; Metazoa; Chordata; Actinopteri; Cichliformes; Cichlidae.